AUGAAUUUCAACAAAGAUCACUGUUAAAAAUGAGGUCUUUAUCUUUUUCUUAAACUAAGUAAAGGAAUGCAAUUUCAAUCACAUAUAUAAAGAGAAAAAGAUAAUUUAACUAAUUUUUAACAGAUUUACAUGAUGAUAACAUUGAUAUAACAUUCAUCUCGAAACAAAAAUCAGAUCUUAACAUAUUCCAUCAACCAAAUCCGGAUCAAAUCCUUCUUAUUAUCAUCAAAAAUCUGCAAUAUAUGAAUUUGAAAGUUAUCUGGUUUGUAGAAUAAUAAAAUACAGUAGUGUAGCAACAGAAAUUCAACAGCAAAUAAGAUAGAAACAACAACAGCUCAAGUGUUAAGACAACCGAGAAAACUCAACAAAGAUGCUUGAAACCAGUAGCUAUCAACUUCACAAAUUGGCUAAGGGAUCUUUCUAUUUUUCUCAAAGUUUUUGCACUCAACUAAUACUCACAAAGUUAUGAAGUUUUAGCUUGCUAUAUGUAUUUAGUUGCUGAUUUUUCUCACAGAUAUGUCUUUAAGCAACUCUCCAGAUCCUUCUUUUUUUUCUAAGUGAUAGAGGAUGUGUCUUUUAUAGGAGAAGAAACCAUGCAUUCAUGAUUAAAAAUCAGUCUUUUUUGACAGAUUGUUUCACAAAAUCUGCUCUAAAAUUCAAAGGGCAAGACUUUCUUGUUCAAUCUUGUCCAAAAGAGUGUAUUUCAACCAAAAUCUGCUCUUCACUAUUCAAAGACAGAUUUUUGUUCAAAAACUGUCCUAAAGUCCAUAUUUUCUUACCAAACAAAUGACUUUUGAGUUUUGUACUCAAAAAAUCUCUGAAGCAGUAAAUAAGCAAUCAAGCAAGUACCCUAUACUUUCAAGUAUUCCUUCACUACCUCACUUUUAUUAAUACAAAAUUAUUCUACUACUUCAACAAGUGCAAAAACAGAAAAUUUAGCAUUUCAAGCUUUAAAAACUAAUGCUAAAAUAAUUAAUAAGAGACAAAAUAAAAAUCUGAAAAAAAAAAUCAGCCAUGAAAACAAAGAGAAAAAAAAAAGAAUAAGUAUGUUUACCAUUUCACAAUUCAAGUGGCCGAAAUUUGGCCGGAUUUUUAGUUGCCGGAUUUUCGGGACGGAAUUGACAUUAAUAGGUAGGUUUUGAGGAGCUCUAUCCGUUGAUAUAGGUAUUGUGAGGGUGAUAGUCGACGGAGCUUCAAAUAUUUGGGCAAAAAAGUGGCGACUAAAGUUUUCUAGAUCUAAACUUCAAGGAGUUUGAGGGGUUUUUGAAGGAAUUGGUUUGAAGAUAUGGAAAGAGGAGGUUGUAGAGAUUACAUGGUGUGAAUUUGGGGGUGUUUGGAGGUGGUCCGCCGCCGGUGGGUGAUUUCAGGCGGCGACGGCGGAGAGAAGAGAGAGAGAGAAGAGGGAGGAAGAAGAAAGGAAUUAUGGGGGAAAUGGGGGUAAAAUUUCAGCAUUUCUAAGUCUUAAAUACCUAGUUGGGAGAUUGAUU
This 1487-nucleotide long non-coding RNA is filed under the name Nicotiana tabacum (common tobacco). RNAcentral's name for it is "long non-coding RNA (NTAB_LNC016532)". The record is from RNAcentral. Lineage: Eukaryota; Viridiplantae; Streptophyta; Magnoliopsida; Solanales; Solanaceae.